This 303-nucleotide ribosomal RNA is filed under the name uncultured bacterium. RNAcentral's name for it is "bacterial SSU rRNA". It matches the Rfam family "Bacterial small subunit ribosomal RNA", at positions 355 to 674 of the family's 1533-position model. The record is from RNAcentral.
UGGGGGAUAUUGCACAAUGGGGGGAACCCUGAUGCAGCGACGCCGCGUGGAGGAAGAAGUAUCUCGGUAUGUAAACUCCUAUCAGCAGGGAAGAAAGAAGACGGUACCUGACUAAGAAGCCCCGGCUAACUACGUGCCAGCAGCCGCGGUAAUACGUAGGGGGCGAGCGUUAUCCGGAUUUACUGGGUGUAAAGGGAGCGUAGACGGCCAUGCAAGCCUGAUGUGAAAGGUGUGGGCACAACCCGCACACUGCAUUGGGAACUGUAUGGCUAGAGUGUUGGAGGGGCAGGCGGAAUUCCUGGU